Long non-coding RNA from Bombyx mori (domestic silkworm), 1088 nucleotides. RefSeq lists it as uncharacterized. The transcript is spliced from 3 exons. The record is from RefSeq and is a predicted model, not a curated record. Lineage: Eukaryota; Metazoa; Arthropoda; Insecta; Lepidoptera; Bombycidae.
ACUCAAUAUAUAAAAAAUAUAUUGCAGACUGUAUUAAGACAAUGCACUUCGUUAGAUGACUUAAAUCAAAAUAAACAGAAUACUGAAUUCGAAAAAUUGUAUUCUUUAUAUUAUUAUUCCUUUACAACGUUCGGGCUUUUAAAUUUCAAAGUCCUGGCAUAACCGGUGUCCGUAGCUUACAUAUAAACGUGUAUUAACAAACUCGCGACAGUUGGAAUUUGUUCGCUGAACUGUUCACCGACAGACACAUCACGGAGUCUAGUUUUCGAAAUACAACGAUAAACCGCAGGUGUCAAUGACAAAAUCGAAGAGAAAAUACGCGAUCACCGACAAAUUCUUGCCAAGACUCGCCAAAAACCUGUGCACCAGGAAGGGUAGUCGCCGCGCCAAUACUGGGAACCGCCUAGAACACGCGGUACUCACCCACAUCCAACACGUGCCCUAGACGCCAGGUCCCUGAACUCCCCUCACCCCCAUCGUCCAUCCGCCUUCCACCGGUGUCAGCUUAACACGAGUGAAAGAGAUAAAAUUGAAUGCUAGCAGCCAUGGCUCGUGGAGAUGAAUGCAAGACCGCCAACAAGGCCAAUUACGCUUGCAAGUCUUUUGAUGUGGCCGCUCCUAUGAAGAAGCCAGCUUCACCAACUUAUCAGGUGGUCAAGCAGCAGGAACAGAAGAAAGACUACGGUUCCUGGGGGCCAGUUUUCAAGGACAAGAAGACUUUCACUGACAUGCACUUAUGCUGAACAUGACAUCGAGCCGGUGUUCAUCAUCAUUGCUUUAUCAUUAUCAAUCGUGACGUCACUAUAUUAUAAUUUCUUUAUUCCAUGUCAUUGUCAAAUCAAAAAUCGCCUUUUGAAUGUUUCGGUAACACGCUUUGCUUCUUUUUUUUUAGUUUUCGUUAAAAUUCUUAUAAUAAGUUCUGUGUCGCCAGAUGAAUUUUAUUUUGUGUUAAAAGUUUGCGUGUGCUCCAAAUUGUUUUUUUAUAAAUAAAAAAAGUGACGUUUAGAUUAUGUUUCCAGUGGUGUAGGUAUUCUUUUGCAUACUAACCUUAUCGUGUAUUCAUAUUAACAUUAAAAUUCAUCCCCAUC